CAAGCUGUCAUGGAAUUAAAAUCAUUCUGAUGAUGCUUUUGACUUGUGGGGGGCGAGGAGCUCUCGUGACAGUAACUAAUGAAUCCCCAAAGGCCCCUUCUCUUUUCCCACUCAUCCCAUCUGGGGACAACUCAAGAACCACAGAUGUCACCAUCGGAUGUCUCGCCAAGAAUUUCCUGCCAGAUUCAAUCGAUUUCUCUUGGAAUAACCCAAGCAACGAGAGCAUUGGCAACCAGAACUACGUGAAAUUCCCAUCUAUCUUGUCGGGUGGGAUGUACACAGCCGCUUCUCAGGCUAAAGUCCCCCGGAAUACGUGGGAUCUUUACAAACCAUUCUAUUGCAAAGCCAAGCACCCACAGGGCGACAAAGUGAUCUCCGUUACUCGACAAUAUGGGGGACCGUCGGUAAGAGAGCCUUCGAUGCUCAUCCGGGCACCAGUGCUGGAUGCCUUUUCAAGUAUCUACCUAAAUUCCACCGUUUCCUGUGAAAUUAGCGACCUCUGCUCUGGAAACGUCGUUGUCUCUUGGCUUAGGGAGCAACGAGAAGUCACCACCGGUGUCACUACCUCCAAACCCAUCCCAAAUGGCCGUGGGGGAUACACUGUUUGGAGCAGACUUGUUAUCACCAAGGAAGACUGGUUUUCUGAAAAGAAGUUUGCCUGUAAAGUGACAAGCAAGGACUUCAAUCAUGAAGAGCCAUUCAGCUUGCUAUCUUUCUGCAAAAGUGGUGGCUGUUUACCUGUUACUGUGGAAACCAUCCCCCCAACUUUUGCCGACAUGUUCCUGACCAACUCUGCCAACCUGACUUGCAGAAUCUCCAAUAUCCCUAUCGAAGCAGACUAUUCCAAGUUGAACGUCACCUGGACGCGGGCCUCGGACCACAAGCAACUCCACACUGUGAUGACCAGUUUCUUAGGCCAGGGAAAUGAAUUUUACUACGCCGACGCUAUAGCCACAGUGUGUGCAACGGAAUGGAAGGAGAAUGAAAUCUUUACCUGCAAAGUGACCUUUGAGGACGUACUUGUCAAGCCAGUAGAAAAAACUCUGGAGAAGAAGACUGUUGGCGAACCAAAAGCUCCCUUAGUCUACGUCCUUCCGCCUUCCCCAGAAGAGGUGAAUUUGCGGGAAAAAAUAACCAUCACGUGCUUCAUUAAGAACUUCAAUCCCGGCAACUUCUUUAUGCGAUGGCUCCAGAAUGAACAGGCAAUCAGUGAAUCGGCUUACUUCACCAGCAAAGCCAUAGCAGAGUCCAAAAUACAAUCCAAUGAGUAUUUUGCCUACAGCAUGUUGACUGUCAACGAACAGGAAUGGAGCGCAGGAGACUCCUUCACUUGCGUGGUGGGACAUGAAGCCUUUCCCUUCGGCUCCAUUCAGAAGACUAUCAAUAAGAACACGGAAGCUGACCUUCAUGUAUUGUCCAAAGGUUACGUAGAUGGAAUUGUGGACACGGAGGACGAAGAAGAAUACCAAAACAUCUCGUCGAUCCUUUCCACUUUCAUCAUCCUCUUCCUAGUGAGCCUCUUCUACAGCGCCACAGUGACAGUCAUUAAGGUGAAAUAAAGAGACAGAGGCCGUUCUUCUACAUCUACUUCUUUAAAAGAAGAAAGGAUUUAUUUGAGAGGAGGUGGAAUUUUUUUUACCUUGCUUUGUAUCAUAGCCUUAAGAGUCCAUGUGAGCUGGAACAGCCUGGUUGUUUACAGUUUAGCUCCAUGGUGAAAUGUUGCAUCAUUUUCUGUGUGAUGUAUAUAUCUUUGUCGAUACUUCUCGGUGUCUCAAUUAUGAUCAUUGUUUAAUCAUUGUUAUGAUGAUGAUUAUUUUUUUGUCAGAAUGGUCUACCUUAUCUGAUACCCUAAAGGGGAACUUUCAGCACUUUUAAUCUUCAUGUAAAACAGACAGGGGAUUCGCUGCACAAUUUGUAUUAAUUAAAAUGUAUUUUUUUUAAUAUUG
Non-coding RNA from Ahaetulla prasina, 1946 nucleotides. The record is from the annotation of a RefSeq genome assembly. NCBI's taxonomy places the organism in Eukaryota, Metazoa, Chordata, Lepidosauria, Squamata, Colubridae.